UACAACUCUGCCUUUGCUGCUUUCUUAUUUGCACCAUGGCUACUACCUUCUUCUUCAGAUGCCGCCUCGUCAAUCCUUCCCAUGAAUCCCAUCCCAACACUGCAACUCUUGGGCAACUGUUUCGAUUGCUGCAUUAACAUGUCAAUUUCAUUUUUAUGACCAAGGCUCCUCACGGAUGCAGCCCUUAUAAGCUCUCUGUAAUCGUCAUAGUCGUUGGACAUGGAUGACCCCAUACUGUAACUCUUGGGCAAUUGACCGUGUGGCAUCGACAUGGAGUGGCCAUAGCUGGCUCUCGCAGCGCAUCCUGUCAUGCUCUUCACGUAGAGAUCCCUGGCUUUGCCCAAUACUUUUAUUGGGAUCGUUACGAUCCACAUGAACCUGCUCUGGCUAUGCCCUUUGGCCCCCAUGACACAAGAAAAAGAUUGAAAUUUGGAAAGAAGAUGAAUUGAUCAAGAAUUCAAGAUCCUAAUUACAAAAGAAUCUUGGUUGACAAACCUUGAGAGAGAAAGACAGACGAGGUAAAGUUUUGUUAAUG
RNAcentral lists this unclassified non-coding RNA (535 nucleotides) under Hevea brasiliensis (rubber tree). The record is from RNAcentral. Lineage: Eukaryota; Viridiplantae; Streptophyta; Magnoliopsida; Malpighiales; Euphorbiaceae.